AUGCGGAGGCAAGCCGUGGUGUGGGACCCUGUCACCGGCGACCAGCACCGCCUUGCCGUUCCCCCAGGGUUCGGCUAUGUUGCAAGCCGGAUCCACGGGGCAGUGCUUCGCGCUACCGGCGAGGUCCACCACUUCCAGGUGGUCUUGGUAGAGGCCGCCACUGACGGCGCACAACAUAUGCGGUUGCUCGCCUGCGUUUACUCCUCAGAGACUGGCGCAUGGGGCAAUCUCAUUUCAACAUCGGUUCGGGGUGCUUUCAUUUACACUAUGUUUACGAGAAUGCCGGGUUUGCUCAUUGGGAAUUCCCUUUACUGGCUGUUUGAGGCAAACCACUUGGCUGUGAUUCUUGAGUUUGAUUUGGAGAAGCAGAGCCUAGUGGUGAUGCAAGCGCCAACAGAUAUUGAGAACAACCUCACAGUUAUGCGGGCUGAUGAUGGUGGGCUGGGUUUACUCUCCAUCUCAGGCUUCACGGCCAAAUUAUGGAAGAGAAAGACUGAUCGGAAUGGUGUUGCAUCAUGGUGGGAUGGAAGAACUAUUGAGGUGGACAAGCUACUUUCCCUGAGUUCAGAGAAGCCGAGAAAACGCCUAUCCCUAAUAGGGUUUGGAGAGGAAAAUAAUACGGUGUUCCUGCCAACACUUGAUGGUGUCCUCAUGGUCCAGCUUGAAUCAUUGCAAUUCAGGAAACUUAGUGUGUCCAACAACAAGCUUUGGCUUCAUCCGUUCAAAAGUGUCUAUACUGGAGGUAAAGGCAUGUCUUUACAAUAUGGCUAUAACGAAACCAGGUACCUAGAUUUGUAUUCUGGUUGCCAAGAUGCCGGAAUUGGCUUCUUCAAUGUGGGUUCAUCAAUUUUGUAUGCUUCACUGUUCAUGCGAAGAUCAACGGUCUAUGUUGCAUGCAUGGUCAACUUGAAAUUGGAAUAG
This 921-nucleotide ribosomal RNA is filed under the name Triticum aestivum (bread wheat). RNAcentral describes it as "partial small subunit ribosomal RNA". Lineage: Eukaryota; Viridiplantae; Streptophyta; Magnoliopsida; Poales; Poaceae. The record is from RNAcentral.